UACGGAGGGUGCGAGCGUUAAUCGGAACUACUGGGCGUAAAGCGCACGCAGGCGGUUUGUUAAGCUAGAUGUGAAAGCCCCGGGCUCAACCUGGGAUGGUCAUUUAGAACUGGCAGACUAGAGUCUUGGAGAGGGGAGUGGAAUUCCAGGUGUAGCGGUGAAAUGCGUAGAUAUCUGGAGGAACAUCAGUGGCGAAGGCGACUCCCUGGCCAAAGACUGACGCUCANGUGCGAAAGUGUGGGUAGCGAACAGG
This 253-nucleotide ribosomal RNA is filed under the name uncultured bacterium. RNAcentral's name for it is "partial 16S ribosomal RNA". It matches the Rfam family "Bacterial small subunit ribosomal RNA", at positions 524 to 776 of the family's 1533-position model. The record is from RNAcentral.